UACAGAGGGUGCGAGCGUUAAUCGGAAUUACUGGGCGUAAAGCGUGCGCAGGCGGUUCGUUGUGUCGGUCGUGAAAGCCCCGGGCUCAACCUGGGAAUUGCGAUGAAGACUGCAAGGCUUGAAUCUGGCAGAGGGGGGUAGAAUUCCACGUGUAGCAGUGAAAUGCGUAGAGAUGUGGAGGAACACCGAUGGCGAAGGCAGCCCCCUGGGUCAAGAUUGACGCUCAUGCACGAAAGCGUGGGGAGCAAACAGG
Molecule: ribosomal RNA, 253 nt
Filed under: uncultured bacterium
Lineage: Bacteria
Description: partial 16S ribosomal RNA
Rfam family: Bacterial small subunit ribosomal RNA
Source: RNAcentral